UCUCUGUGAUGUCUCAAUGGAUCCUGCUUACCCUUCCCUGUGUGCUCGAUAGAGUAGAAGGGAAAUGAAGAAACAAACCUGUGGCUGAGAGA
This 92-nucleotide small nucleolar RNA is filed under the name Buteo japonicus. Lineage: Eukaryota; Metazoa; Chordata; Aves; Accipitriformes; Accipitridae. The record is from RNAcentral.